RNAcentral lists this ribosomal RNA (2902 nucleotides) under Klebsiella pneumoniae. RNAcentral's name for it is "23S ribosomal RNA". It matches the Rfam family "Bacterial large subunit ribosomal RNA". Lineage: Bacteria; Pseudomonadati; Pseudomonadota; Gammaproteobacteria; Enterobacterales; Enterobacteriaceae. The record is from RNAcentral.
GGUUAAGCGACUAAGCGUACACGGUGGAUGCCCUGGCAGUCAGAGGCGAUGAAGGACGUGCUAAUCUGCGAAAAGCGUCGGUAAGGUGAUAUGAACCGUUAUAGCCGGCGAUGUCCGAAUGGGGAAACCCAGUGCAAUUCGUUGCACUAUCGUUAACUGAAUACAUAGGUUAACGAGGCGAACCGGGGGAACUGAAACAUCUAAGUACCCCGAGGAAAAGAAAUCAACCGAGAUUCCCCCAGUAGCGGCGAGCGAACGGGGAGCAGCCCAGAGUCUGAAUCAGCUUGUGUGUUAGUGGAACGGUCUGGAAAGUCCGACGGUACAGGGUGAUAGUCCCGUACACCAAAAUGCACAGGCUGUGAACUCGAAGAGUAGGGCGGGACACGUGGUAUCCUGUCUGAAUAUGGGGGGACCAUCCUCCAAGGCUAAAUACUCCUGACUGACCGAUAGUGAACCAGUACCGUGAGGGAAAGGCGAAAAGAACCCCGGCGAGGGGAGUGAAAAAGAACCUGAAACCGUGUACGUACAAGCAGUGGGAGCACCUUCGGGUGUGACUGCGUACCUUUUGUAUAAUGGGUCAGCGACUUAUAUUCUGUAGCAAGGUUAACCGUAUAGGGGAGCCGCAGGGAAACCGAGUCUUAACUGGGCGUUAAGUUGCAGGGUAUAGACCCGAAACCCGGUGAUCUAGCCAUGGGCAGGUUGAAGGUUGGGUAACACUAACUGGAGGACCGAACCGACUAAUGUUGAAAAAUUAGCGGAUGACUUGUGGCUGGGGGUGAAAGGCCAAUCAAACCGGGAGAUAGCUGGUUCUCCCCGAAAGCUAUUUAGGUAGCGCCUCGUGAACUCAUCUUCGGGGGUAGAGCACUGUUUCGGCUAGGGGGUCAUCCCGACUUACCAACCCGAUGCAAACUACGAAUACCGAAGAAUGUUAUCACGGGAGACACACGGCGGGUGCUAACGUCCGUCGUGAAGAGGGAAACAACCCAGACCGCCAGCUAAGGUCCCAAAGUCAUGGUUAAGUGGGAAACGAUGUGGGAAGGCACAGACAGCCAGGAUGUUGGCUUAGAAGCAGCCAUCAUUUAAAGAAAGCGUAAUAGCUCACUGGUCGAGUCGGCCUGCGCGGAAGAUGUAACGGGGCUAAACCAUGCACCGAAGCUGCGGCAGCGACACUAUGUGUUGUUGGGUAGGGGAGCGUUCUGUAAGCCUGCGAAGGUGUGCUGUGAGGCAUGCUGGAGGUAUCAGAAGUGCGAAUGCUGACAUAAGUAACGAUAAAGCGGGUGAAAAGCCCGCUCGCCGGAAGACCAAGGGUUCCUGUCCAACGUUAAUCGGGGCAGGGUGAGUCGACCCCUAAGGCGAGGCCGAAAGGCGUAGUCGAUGGGAAACAGGUUAAUAUUCCUGUACUUGGUGUUACUGCGAAGGGGGGACGGAGAAGGCUAUGUUAGCCGGGCGACGGUUGUCCCGGUUUAAGCAUGUAGGCUGAUUGUCCAGGCAAAUCCGGAUAAUCAAGGCUGAGGUGUGAUGACGAGGCACUACGGUGCUGAAGUAACAAAUGCCCUGCUUCCAGGAAAAGCCUCUAAGCAUCAGGUAACAUCAAAUCGUACCCCAAACCGACACAGGUGGUCAGGUAGAGAAUACCAAGGCGCUUGAGAGAACUCGGGUGAAGGAACUAGGCAAAAUGGUGCCGUAACUUCGGGAGAAGGCACGCUGGUGUGUAGGUGAAGUCCCUGCGGAUGGAGCUGAGACCAGUCGAAGAUACCAGCUGGCUGCAACUGUUUAUUAAAAACACAGCACUGUGCAAACACGAAAGUGGACGUAUACGGUGUGACGCCUGCCCGGUGCCGGAAGGUUAAUUGAUGGGGUUAUCCGUAAGGAGAAGCUCUUGAUCGAAGCCCCGGUAAACGGCGGCCGUAACUAUAACGGUCCUAAGGUAGCGAAAUUCCUUGUCGGGUAAGUUCCGACCUGCACGAAUGGCGUAAUGAUGGCCAGGCUGUCUCCACCCGAGACUCAGUGAAAUUGAACUCGCUGUGAAGAUGCAGUGUACCCGCGGCAAGACGGAAAGACCCCGUGAACCUUUACUAUAGCUUGACACUGAACAUUGAGCCUUGAUGUGUAGGAUAGGUGGGAGGCUUUGAAGCGUGGACGCCAGUCUGCGUGGAGCCAACCUUGAAAUACCACCCUUUAAUGUUUGAUGUUCUAACGUUGGCCCCUUACCGGGGUUGCGGACAGUGUCUGGUGGGUAGUUUGACUGGGGCGGUCUCCUCCCAAAGCGUAACGGAGGAGCACGAAGGUUAGCUAAUCCUGGUCGGACAUCAGGAGGUUAGUGCAAUGGCAUAAGCUAGCUUGACUGCGAGCGUGACGGCGCGAGCAGGUGCGAAAGCAGGUCAUAGUGAUCCGGUGGUUCUGAAUGGAAGGGCCAUCGCUCAACGGAUAAAAGGUACUCCGGGGAUAACAGGCUGAUACCGCCCAAGAGUUCAUAUCGACGGCGGUGUUUGGCACCUCGAUGUCGGCUCAUCACAUCCUGGGGCUGAAGUAGGUCCCAAGGGUAUGGCUGUUCGCCAUUUAAAGUGGUACGCGAGCUGGGUUUAGAACGUCGUGAGACAGUUCGGUCCCUAUCUGCCGUGGGCGCUGGAGAAUUGAGGGGGGCUGCUCCUAGUACGAGAGGACCGGAGUGGACGCAUCACUGGUGUUCGGGUUGUCAUGCCAAUGGCACUGCCCGGUAGCUAAAUGCGGAAGAGAUAAGUGCUGAAAGCAUCUAAGCACGAAACUUGCCCCGAGAUGAGUUCUCCCUGAGACUUUAAGUCUCCUGAAGGAACGUUGAAGACGACGACGUUGAUAGGCCGGGUGUGUAAGCGCAGCGAUGCGUUGAGCUAACCGGUACUAAUGAACCGUGAGGCUUAACCUU